Paramuricea clavata is the source of this 304-nucleotide non-coding RNA. The record is from the annotation of a GenBank genome assembly. Lineage: Eukaryota; Metazoa; Cnidaria; Anthozoa; Malacalcyonacea; Plexauridae.
UUAUGGGUGCACACCUUACUACAGUGUGACUCAACUUCCAAGAAAGUAAGCAUUGAUUAACUAUGUUUAUUGAAAACAGAAAUCAUCAUUAUUGAACAAUUUUUUAUGAAGCUUUUUUUGUGGAGGUAUCGAGGAAUGCUGAGGAUACCUCCUGUCCAUCUCCAUACUCCUCAUACUAACAGAUCCAAGAAACAUUCCCCUAUAAAUGUCUAUAUUCAUCAUUUAUCCAAUAUUUUCUACAAUGUUACUGUAGCAAUAAAAAGUGUUCAAACUUACAUUUUCAGUUCACUGGUAUAAUUACAGU